ACCAUCCCAAGCGUACCCCACCCUUCCUGCCUUGCUUUCCUCACCCCCCCGCAGCGAGCUAAACAUUCGGCGUAGGGACGGCGCGGGUGGUGGAGGGUAGGGAGGGGGAUAGAGGGGGACGGGUCCGCGCUAUGCCUGGUGCUGGGCAAGUCUAACUCGCUGCGCGGGUGGUUGCGGGUUGGUGCGGUAAGGUGGUGGGGGCUACUGUCUUCUGGGCCCUAUAAGCGAUCGUAAUCAAAUACUACCAGAAAGAGGCCGAACAAAUUUGCUGGUGCUGCGCUGGAUGAAUCGUUUCAGGAGAAUUUGAAAACAAGAACCCCUUUUUUAAGAGCUGUUAACGUUUUGGUGAAUCUUAUGUUUUGCAUCACGAAGAUGGUGGAGAUUCGGCCGUAAGUUACCAGAAGGCAGUCAAAAAUUAUAUUUCGGUAACAGUUGGCCGGGUUUAACUUCAAGUGAAAGAACUAAAAGUUGGGCUCAUCUUGCAUUAUCGAGGAAAACAUUUGCUGAGGACUUCGUACGACGCUCCCAGGCAAGAAUGGAAGUGCACCCAGCGUUAAGUGGCCAAUGUGUUCAUUACAGGUUUUUUUAAGGUACUGUUUACGUGACAUUUUGCAUCGUGACGUGAUAAUUUCUGUCUGGAAAGUCAGCCUUAUUGGCAUAUAAAUUCUCUUGUUCUAUGUAAGUAAAAUUGAACUGUUCUUUACUUUAAAUAGUUAAACAACUUAAAAGCGUUGUUAUCUGUGCCAACAAGGAGACUGCAGUUUGUUGUGUCGUAAUAAACCUUUUGGCUUCCUAAGUUUUUGGUGCAGAAUGCUAAUAUGUGAAAGCUCAUUGAUCUUGAAAUAAAAAUAUAAUUUAUGUCUUGAA
This is a long non-coding RNA of Thrips palmi, 867 nucleotides long. RefSeq lists it as uncharacterized. The record is from RefSeq and is a predicted model, not a curated record. The transcript is spliced from 3 exons. NCBI's taxonomy places the organism in Eukaryota, Metazoa, Arthropoda, Insecta, Thysanoptera, Thripidae.